UGCCAGCCGCCGCGGUAAUACAUAGGGGUCAAGCGUUGUCCGGAUUUAUUGGGCGUAAAGCGCCUGUAGGUUGUUUAUUAAGUCUGUGGUUAAAGACUAGGGCUCAACCCUAGGAAAGCAAUGGAAACUAAUAGACUAGAGUAUGGCAGGGGUAGAGGGAAUUUCUGGUGUAGCGGUGAAAUGCGUAGAUAUUAGAAAGAACACCGGUGGCGAAAGCGCUCUACUGGACCAUUACUGACACUCAGAGGCGAAAGCUAGGGUAGCAAAAGGGAUUAGAUA
Molecule: ribosomal RNA, 279 nt
Filed under: uncultured bacterium
Lineage: Bacteria
Description: partial 16S ribosomal RNA
Rfam family: Bacterial small subunit ribosomal RNA
Source: RNAcentral